AUGAACGCCGGCGGCGUGCUUAACACAUGCAAGUCGAACGAUGAAGCCCAGCUUGCUGGGUGGAUUAGUGGCGAACGGGUGAGUAACACGUGAGUAACCUGCCCUUGACUCUGGGAUAAGCCUGGGAAACUGGGUCUAAUACUGGAUAUGACUUCUCAUCGCAUGGUGGGGGGUGGAAAGAUUUAUUGGUCUUGGAUGGACUCGCGGCCUAUCAGCUUGUUGGUGAGGUAAUGGCUCACCAAGGCGACGACGGGUAGCCGGCCUGAGAGGGUGACCGGCCACACUGGGACUGAGACACGGCCCAGACUCCUACGGGAGGCAGCAGUGGGGAAUAUUGCACAAUGGGCGCAAGCCUGAUGCAGCGACGCCGCGUGAGGGAUGACGGCCUUCGGGUUGUAAACCUCUUUCAGUAGGGAAGAAGCGAGAGUGACGGUACCUGCAGAAGAAGCGCCGGCUAACUACGUG
Molecule: ribosomal RNA, 465 nt
Filed under: uncultured bacterium
Lineage: Bacteria
Description: partial 16S ribosomal RNA
Rfam family: Bacterial small subunit ribosomal RNA
Source: RNAcentral